This 253-nucleotide ribosomal RNA is filed under the name uncultured bacterium. RNAcentral's name for it is "partial 16S ribosomal RNA". It matches the Rfam family "Bacterial small subunit ribosomal RNA", at positions 524 to 776 of the family's 1533-position model. The record is from RNAcentral.
UACAGAGGGGGCAAGCGUUAUUCGGAAUUAUUGGGCGUAAAGGGCGCGUAGGCGGCGAUUCAAGUGACGGGUGAAAUCCCUCGGCUUAACCGAGGAACUGCCUGUCAGACUGGAUUGCUUGAGUCCGGGAGAGGCGAGUGGAAUUCCCAGUGUAGCGGUGAAAUGCGUAGAUAUUGGGAGGAACACCAGUGGCGAAGGCGGCUCGCUGGACCGGAACUGACGCUGAGGCGCGAAAGCGUGGGGAGCGAACAGG